GGCAUAGAUGGACCACAGCUACAACUUGAGUUGCAUGAGGCCUGCUUCUCAAGUCUCAAUCAUUGCAAGUUGACCUGCUUCCAAGUGGGUGGUAUAAAAAAAAUUCGCUUCACUUCUAUCCUGACCGAAGACUUACCCCUCGUGUCACCAUCUUCCUCCUCUUUCCUUUGCCCAGCCCGACCUCACCUUCUAACCCUGCUGAUCCAACCCCUGCAUCAUUGUCUCCCUUUGGUGGCCCACUCAGCCUCACCUCCUAACCCUGUUUGUGCCACCUCCUAUGUCACCGUAUCCCUCAUCUUUAGUUCCCCACUCAACCUUGCCUUCUAACCUUGCCAGCCCUACACCCACAUCAUCAUCUCCCUCCUAUUUGGUGGCCCACUGAAAAUGAUAGGAGAAAUGCAUCAUUUAGGCAGAGGCCUCAAAUCAGUUCACAAGAAUUAAAGAUCUAGUGCAAUAUCUAGUGUGACUUGCGAGAAUGCCGGGUGAGAUCUGUUGCGAGAAUGUCAGUGGGAGGCAAACUCACUGCAGGCUGAGAUCUGAUGCGAGAACAUGCAAGGUGAGGAACACUUAUUGUCUGAUCCUCUCAUAGCACUGGGAGGAUUACAAGUGAUGGCGCAUAUCCAAUCAGGAGAAUGAUCUGAUGGUGGAGAUUUCAGCCCUCAACCCCAACCUUCUCCUGCCUCCCAGGACUACCCCCACCUUGAUCUUACCUCUUGCUCUCGUUCACCAUCCAAACAGGUGAAUUGAUCAUGUUUCAACUCAAGCUAUACACAACUUGAGCUGCAGGUUAAGUUGACUUAAAGGGCUCCAAACAGCCCCUUAAUAUUAUGCACAGUCCAGAGACUCCUUAAAUUCUGUAAGAUGCUUCGGAGGCAACUCAAGUCUUCAUGAUACAGCUUAGAGACACCUCAAGUUCUCACAAGAUAGUUUGGAGACACGUCAAGUCUUCGGUAUACAGUUGGAGAUGCCUGAAGUCUUCAUCAGACAAACUAAGGACACCUUGCAUCCCUUGCCUCAUUAAACAUGGGGAUCUAGCAAUUUGGAUAUGGAAGGUGUUGCUAUUGGCAUCUGACCUGACGUUGGAGCUGACAGAUCUGGAAUGGCUAGAGCUUUAUUUGGCACUGGAUGGGAGAGAACUUGUAAAUCAAGUCUCUGAUCGGAGUUGUUUCCGGUGGAGAUCCUCCGAUGCCCAAGUCAGUCAAUAAAGAGCAGUGGAAGUGAUGAAGAAAGUUUGUCCUAAGGGCUUACCUAGAGGUCUGCUAUUUUUCCCUAUUUAUAGGUGGGGUGGCUGGCCAUUUUUGAAAAUAUGGAUGGGAGUGGGAGAGAAUUAUGCUGCUUCUACCUUAUCCAGUUGAGGUGAGUUGUUAUCUUCAUUUUGGAGUAUAUCUGGAAUAUGGACUAGAUAAGGCAACUACUCGAUGCAUAACUACUGCCACGAAUGUCGGCUUACCUCGGCUCGGGAUGGUCUGAGCCGACCAGGCCGUUAUAUAUCCGAGGUUAAGAUAAUGUCAGACUUAGUCGAGGUAAGCUAUCAUCUCAUAACAGAUAUCCUUCACUCUCGAGUUCAAACUACUGGUAGAUCGGGCGAGGAGAGUAAAAGCAUGAGACGAAGUGGCAGUUAUUUCGACUCAAUUCAUGUCAUGCUUAUUAAUGCUUGGACACAUGGUACCUUGGGUGCAGUGGUGGGGAUUUGUCGAACUAGGCUUAGUCAAUCUCGAGCUGGCACAUGGCGAGCAUCCAACGGCUCAACCAGAGCUGGCUUCGAAUUUGCGAGUUCCUACCAUUUAUAAAUAGUGGCUUGUCUCAUUCGACCCUACUUCCUUUUGGCUGUUGCUAGGGUUUGGCUAUUUUUGGUGAAGGCUCGGCUAUUCUUUGGUGCGUCUCUAAUGAUUUAAGGUGAGAGCUCUGAUCAAUGAUAUGAGGUUAGCCCUACUUCGGAUCGGCCCCAUACUCUUCUUUUUUCGCUUUUUCUUUUCUAGUUUUCCAAAACUGUUUUUUAAAACUUUUUGUCGAGAUGAGCGGUAGUCUUAGCUUGGUCGGGAGCUGGUCCACCAAUUAGGAACCACCUCGGAGCUAGGAGAUGAAGUCUUCGGCCUCAGGCACUUUUAGUCUGUUCUCGGCCUUGAGGACUUGGAGCUGAUCUGAGCUCAGUUCCAAAUCCCAGUCGACCAUCGGCUAGAAGCUGCAAGCUCAAGCGAUAGGAUUUGCAAUUCACCGUGAGGUCUGUUCAGUCUCUACAAAGAGAUUCUUAGAGCCAGCCUGAGGUUACCCCUUCAUCCCUUCUUUAUUCAUCUUUUUCGUUCUCUUGAAAUCACCCCCAACUUGGUGGUGCUGAACUCGUGGCGAUUCAUUAUGGGCUUCAUUGCCCACUGCUUUUUUGGUCAGCAUUCGACCUAUCCUUCUCUUCCAAAUCUUCUUUUAAGAGGCAUCCAACAGAGCGGGACUGGUGUUAUCUUUCACUUCGGAGAGGGUAUGGCUUGAUCCGAGGCACUUCUUCCUUCGUCCAUGGGUUGAAGGAGAGAUUUUUCUGUUUGUUUCGAGGACUGUGGCUUUACCUUAUAGGGCCAACCUCGGAAGGUGGUUCGUGCCUCAUUGUUGGGCGAUGCUAAGCGUCGAGACUUGAACACUCUACUCGAGUAAAAGGUUCUUCCCCUGAAGGAGCUACUGUUCGAGCCGACCUUGUACGACGUCGGUCUUAGAUAGGUCGACCCAUGAGGUAAUUGCUUUCGUUUCAUCCGAUUUCUCUUUUAUGAUUUCUGUUAUUAUCAUCUGUUUUGACAUGUUUGCCUCGAGCCUUUGUAGGGAUGAGGAUCAAGGAAUUAGAGAGGUUGUGCAGGGCGGUGCGGAAGAAGAGGGUUGCAGUUGCAGUCGAGUCAUCUAAGCGCCCCCAUGCUGAAGUUUUGGCUGCUCGGGCCUAUUGGAGCCUAGUCGGAGCCCCUCUUUGGAGAUCCGUGAGGCCCCUUCUGUUGACCUCGAGGUGAUGGUGGUCAACUUGGUGAAGGUUCUCCCUCUUGGGGCAGCACUCCCACCCCGAUCCGAUACUUUCUUAGCCCCCCCAAGAUGAGGGGGCCUCCUAAUCAGCUCCCAUGCCUCCAGUUCGACAAUGGCCAUAGCCUCUAUUGAGGUCGAGCAGGGGUUGUGUAUUAGCACAGUUCAGCCUUUGUCAGACUCCAUGUUGGGGAGCUGGCGAGUAGGUCGGGAUCUCAUCUGUGGGAUCCUUCCAGCCUACGACUCUAUCCGGAUGACUUGCCCAUUAUCUAGAGCACUUUCUGAAUGUUGUUAAGGCAGCGAGAUUGGAGAUGGCCAAGGUCCAAAAGAAGGUGGAUGCGAUCGAGGAAAGGGCCCUUGAAGUGGAGAGGGUUAAGAAGAAGGUUCACAUCAUCUUGAUCGAAGUAGUGGUAGAGGUUGGGCGCUUGAGGCAGGCACUAAAGCAGUUGGAGGAGAAACUCGCGGCUGUUGAAGCGAAAGUGGUCGAGGUAGCCAAGGUGAUCAAGCCGGCUCAGAAGGCUAUGGAAAACUUUCGAGCUUCAAAGGAGUUUGUGGAUGAGAAGGCCAAGUUCGCUGUGAAGUCCUACAUGGUCGGCAUUUGGAAGUGCUGAGCUAAGGUCGCUGGUUGUUAACUCGAUCUGGAUCUUUUCUUUUUAUCUAAUGACGACAAUGACGUCUGGUUGAACCUCCUCCCUGACCCAAGCUUCGAAGAGUACCAGAUCUUCGGGUUCCCCUUGUCGGAGGCUGCUGUUGUCGAGGAGGCGGCAUGUUAGGUCAAUGAAGCUGCUGGUUGAGCUGAAGAAGGCACCCUCCAGUCGAAGCAUAGGUUUUUUUCUUUUCUUUUUGUAAUCUUGGUUUGGUUUUCCGAACUUGUUUUGCAGUCGGCUUGUCCGACCCAUCCUGUAAAUAUUUUAAAUAUUUGAAUGUAAGUACUUUUCCUCGAAAAGUAGCUUUAUUUGUCGAA
Molecule: non-coding RNA, 3952 nt
Organism: Elaeis guineensis (African oil palm)
Lineage: Eukaryota; Viridiplantae; Streptophyta; Magnoliopsida; Arecales; Arecaceae
Source: RefSeq, a predicted model, not a curated record